Molecule: non-coding RNA, 962 nt
Organism: Oryza sativa Japonica Group (Japanese rice)
Lineage: Eukaryota; Viridiplantae; Streptophyta; Magnoliopsida; Poales; Poaceae
Source: RefSeq, a predicted model, not a curated record
AAUAAAACCUAGACUUGGUUGGUACUAUAAUCUAUCCAACAUAUUCAGUUAUUAUGCUCUGUAUUGUAGUGUAGCCAAUUUAUUCAAUUAUUCUUCUUUGUACUGUAGUCUAGCCAAUUUAUUCAGUUGUACUAUUUCCAGAAUAGGGGUAUCUAGGGUAUCAAAUUAUUUGAUUAUUCUAUGAGCUACAUGCUAGAACCAUUAUGUUAAGUGGUAUCUCUACAUCGCGCCGCAGACUGAUUCCAUCACCGGCCGGUCGCCGCCCAAUGGUUCACAAACUCUCAAAACAUGCUCUCAGAUACGUUGUACUUAUUGUCCUUCAAUAUAUAAACUCACAAUGGUUGAGUGCUCAAUAUAUCUUAUCUAAUUUGGGAACAUACUAUUUGAUUAUCAUUCAUAUAAAGCUGGUAGUAUCCCCAGGUAUACUAAUUGACUUUGUUGUGGAUGGGUGAAUAACUGCAGAUCAUCAGCAGAUGUAUCAACAUGGGGAAUCUCGCCUAAUUUCUACCCUGGCACCUCAAGCUGCAUAUCAAUGGCCUUUGAUAACUAUCAAGGAUAAGAAUGUAGUUUAGUUUUUUGUGUUCAGAAUGAGAGCAGCUCAGCAAGCGAUUGUUAGAGAAGAAUAGGAUCGAGCCCCGCACCAAGUAGAGGUGUUUGUAAAAAGUGGCUAGCAGAAUAGGAAAAGAAGAUUACAAAGCUGCUUGACUUGAAUAGCCUUGACUUGUGAAAAUUUUUCAUGCUUGAUACAUAGGAGGCGGCAAAAGCGAGUGCAAAAGGAACCUCGACAAUACGGGUGAAAUGGUGGGCUGCAGCUCUUCAAUUUGUUCAUCCAAUUAAUAUACAUAAGCCUGUUCUGUAGCUUCGAUGAAAUUCGACGGAUCCAUAUGUUUCAAUGUUUCCUCCCCUCUGAAUUGAUUCCGAGAGGUAAUUUUCUUAAUUCGCCGAUGUGGUGCUUUUCAAAA